Molecule: ribosomal RNA, 375 nt
Filed under: uncultured bacterium
Lineage: Bacteria
Description: bacterial SSU rRNA
Rfam family: Bacterial small subunit ribosomal RNA
Source: RNAcentral
AUACGUAGGUGGCAAGCGUUGUCCGGAUUUACUGGGCGUAAAGGGAGCGUAGGCGGAUUUUUAAGUGGGAUGUGAAAUCCCCGGGCUCAACCCGGGGGCUGCAUUCCAAACUGGAAAUCUAGAGUGUCGGAGAGGAAAGCAGAAUUCCUAGUGUAGCGGUGAAAUGCGUAGAGAUUAGGAAGAAUACCAGUGGCGAAGGCGCCUUUCUGGACUGUAACUGACACUGAGGCUCGAAAGCGUGGGGAGCAAACAGGAUUAGAUACCCUGGUAGUCCACGCCGUAAACGAUGGAUACUAGGUGUAGGAGGGUCCAACCUUCUGUGCCGCCGCAAACGCAUUAAGUAUCCCGCCUGGGGAGUACGGUCGCAAGAUUAAA